GGGGUGAAUUUGUAUAGGAAUGAUAUUUCUGGGGUUAAUUUUGUAAAUACAUGGAAUUCUUUGGGCUAACAUUUUGGCUUUAGAUUUCCUGUGAAAGUAGUGCUGCAAGGGAACCUUGUGAUGGAAGUGAUUCAUUGGUUGGUUUAGCCUUUAGAGUAGGGUGUGGGGUUGGGUUGGUUGGUUUAGCCUUUAGAGUAGGGUGUGGGGUUGGGUUAGGGCAUCCAUCUAAAAGGACAAAAUUACCCCCUUGUGCUUGUUGGGUACAUUUUCAUAUUUUAUUGAACUCUUGAAGAGUAUCUCAUGAAUUAAGAAAUUUAAGUAGGUUGGGCAUUAAAAUUUGUAAUUUCUCAAUUGAAAUUUAAUAUCAUAA
RNAcentral lists this long non-coding RNA (370 nucleotides) under Olea europaea (common olive). Its description in RNAcentral is "long non-coding RNA (OEUR_LNC001889)". Lineage: Eukaryota; Viridiplantae; Streptophyta; Magnoliopsida; Lamiales; Oleaceae. The record is from RNAcentral.